This is a long non-coding RNA of Oncorhynchus tshawytscha (Chinook salmon), 2174 nucleotides long. The record is from Ensembl. NCBI's taxonomy places the organism in Eukaryota, Metazoa, Chordata, Actinopteri, Salmoniformes, Salmonidae.
UCAAAUGUCACUCUGUAAGUGUUCCUUGGUAUACCCUUUAUUUGGGCUCCCGAGUGGCACAGUGGUCUAGGGCACUGCAUUUCAGUGCAAGAGGUGUCACUGCAGUCCCUGGUUCAAAUCUAGGCUGCAUUACUGUACAUCUAGCUGUGAUUGGGAGUCCCAUAGGGUGGUGCGCAAUUGGCCCAGUGUCGUCUGGGGUAGGUCGUCAUUGUCAAUAAGAAUUUGUUGUUAACUAGUUCAAGGUUAAACGUAAAAAAUGUAUUUAAAAUAUUUUUGCAAUUGUUGUCGGGCACCCCUCCUUUGUUGAAGCAUGGAACCCCACCUGAACUCUGACCUUAGACCAGUAGUAUCUAGCUGUUACUUGCCCAAGUCCUUAAGGCAGUGAUAAGACUUGGGUUGGGAAACCCAGAACCAUUCAUUGACAGUGUUGACCUAGUCCUGUCCUAUAGACAGAUGUUAAGAUCACUGAAUGUCUGUCUCUGGUCUGGCCAUUCUCUAUGUGAAUGUAUAUCUAUGUCUCUGUUCUGGCCAUUCUCUAUGUGAAUGGAUAUCUAUGUCUCUGGUCUGGCCACUCUCUAUGUGAAGGGAUAUCUAUGUCUCUGGUCUGGCCACUCUAUGUGAAUGUGUCACCCACCCUUUGACUAACACAAACCCACACAGCGUUAUGUUUCUCUUUGACUUCAGACCCCUGUGACAGUUGUGUGGUUAAUGUGUUGUACUGAUGAUGACUGAAACAUCCAGUGCAGUGAGACAGCAACUAUAUUAUGUGAAUGUGCCCCACCCUUUGACUAAAAACAAAACAAACACAUACCGGUCUUAAUUUGUCCCCCAGCUUUUGACUAAAUAUGAAACACACGUACCGGUGUCUUAAUCCGCCAACCUACUAGUACAACCAGCUACACUCCCCUCAGAAUUAGAAGUGUGUGUGUGUGUGUGUGUGUGUGUGUGUGUGUGUGUGCGCGCAGACAUUGCAUAAACAGUGCUAUGGUUUGAAUGUGGAACUAUAAGCUGAUCCCACGAAAGCUGCAUAGGAAUCUUAAUGCGCUUCCCCAUCAGACCAUGAGAGUCAGAGUUCCACACGUGGAAUGAAUCUCACCUUAGAAUUUGGUUCUGUGUGAUUUUACAGAGACUAUUUUCAGAUAGAUACACACAAGCCACCGAUCCAGGGUUUUUUCUGCAAAGAAAAGUCUUGGGCGGGCUUCCUAAGUGUGUUUUCGGGCUGCCUAUGUCCAAACAGUAAAAAAAUAAUAAUCUUGUAAUAAAAUGGAAUGGAAAAAGGAUGGAAAAACGUAAGUGUAAACUUAAACGACUAAAACCAGAUAUAAACUAUGUAGAAAAGAUAACAGACCUACCCCUGAAGUCUGAAGAAGUGCACCAGUCCCCCACAACAUGAUGCUGCCACCCCCGUGCUUCACGGUUCAGAUGGUGUUCUGCAGCUUGCAAACCUCCCCCUUUUUCCUCCAAACUAACGAUGGUCAUUAUGGCCAAACAGUUCUAUUUUUGUUUCAUCAGACCAGAGGACAUUUCUCGAAAAGGUAGGAUCUUUGUCCCCAUGUACAGUUGCAAACCGUAGUCUGGCAUUUUUAUGGCGCUUGUGGAGCAGUGGCUUCUUCCUUGCUGAGUGGCCAUUAAGGUUAUGUCGAUAUAGGACUCAUUUUACUGUGGAUAUAGAUACUUUUGUACCCGUUUCCUCCAGAAUCUUCACAAGUUUCCUUUGCUGUUAUUCUGGGAUUGAUUUCCACUUUUCUCACCAAGGUACGUUCAUCUCUAGGGGACUCCUUCCUGAGCGGUAUGACGGCUGCGUGGUCCCAUGGUGUUUAUACUUGUAUGCUAUUGUUUGUACAGAUGAACGUGGUACCUUCAGGCAUUUGGAAAUUGCUCCCAAGGAUGAGCCAGACUUGUGGAGAUCUACAAUUUUUUAUUUUCCCAUGACGUCAAGCAAAGAGGCACUGAGUUUGAAGGUAGUCCUUGAAAUACAUCCGCAGGUACACCUCCAGUUGACUCAAAUUAUGUCAAUUAAAGCCAUGACAUCAUUUUCUGGAACGUUCCAAGCUGUUUAAAGACACCGUCAACUUAGUGUAUGUAAACUUCUGACCCACUGGAAUUGUGAUACAGUGAAUUAUAAGUGAAAUAAUCUGUCUGUAAACAAUUGUUGGAAAAAUGACUUGUGUCAU